Non-coding RNA from Paramuricea clavata, 1095 nucleotides. The record is from the annotation of a GenBank genome assembly. NCBI's taxonomy places the organism in Eukaryota, Metazoa, Cnidaria, Anthozoa, Malacalcyonacea, Plexauridae.
GUUUGAAAUAGAAAUAUUUAUUGUCUCAAAAUAUCUUGCAAAAUUUACUCUACGUAUAACAUAAAUAAUAUAAUUAAUAAAUUGAUUACGUAAUAAUAGUUUUGAGCCGUAAACGGAUCAAACUUAAAUGUAUAAUCAUGCGAAAUGUGGUUAGCACAUCCUUAAUCUUCGUUUAAGUUUAUAACGUCACCUUUAACCAACACCGCUAGCUGUCAAACCACAAGAGGCCCAGGCUCGAUUUGCCCGCGCCCGCCUGUGCCUUGGCGCAUGCGGGACUGUCAAAAAUUAGGAGUAAAUACAGGAAAAGUAUUUACUAUAAGGAAACGGCUAAAUGUUUAAUUAUAAGCUCAGGAAUUUCAUUGGUUUUUCCUUGUGACAAGAAGAAGUAGUAUACGGAGUUUAAACAAGUUCCGGCGUAAUUCUUUUUACACUUUUUACUCGAGCUUCUUUCGAAUCAAGAAGUCAAUACACGGACGUUUGACCGCGGUGUUCUCCCAAAUUCGUUCCCAGGCCUAUACAAAGCCCUGGGAACGAGGUGGUUGCGUCACUUCUAAUGAACACGGAGUGAUCCCCCAGUAUAUUUCUAAUAAAAGUGAUCAUUUAAAUAUUGUAAAGUGAGACAUACGGUUAGACUAAUUACGUGCGGAAAUUGUUACUGAUUUUUGAGCCGAAAAUGGUAACAAUGCCCGCACGUAAUACAAACAUAUACAAAAUUUGCAAACUUUGCAAGACUACAUGGCCAAGCUUUACAACAUUUCGCAUCGAUUUUCAGCGUUUCAAGACUAAUAGGAUGCAACCAAAUUUUGCAAUUUUACUAAUUUCAUUAUGUUCUUAUCUGUGGUGUUUGAUUCCCUUCUCUUUACUUAGAUUAAAAUUUAGUCUAAAGACUGCUUUCCAGUUAAGCGUUUUUCAUACGUGCGUGUACACACGGAAAAGUUUAAAUCCUUUUAAAUUUUACUUAUGAAAAAACUAAUUGACCAUUUGCGUAAUAGACUAAAUUUUGAACUAAACAAGUCUAGACAAAAAUUUCAUCACAGCUUGAAGGAGCAUCACAAAAUUAGUAAUAUUUCAAAGUUUCGUUGCAAAAUGUUGUAA